ACACUAUUCGUCUAGAGGUUAGGACGCUAGGUUUUCAGCCUAGAAACACGAGUUCGAUUCUCGUAUAGUGUA
RNAcentral lists this transfer RNA (72 nucleotides) under Sphingobacterium sp. UT-1RO-CII-1. RNAcentral's name for it is "tRNA-Glu". It matches the Rfam family "tRNA". Rfam says of the family: Transfer RNA (tRNA) molecules are approximately 80 nucleotides in length. Lineage: Bacteria; Pseudomonadati; Bacteroidota; Sphingobacteriia; Sphingobacteriales; Sphingobacteriaceae. The record is from RNAcentral.